Molecule: ribosomal RNA, 274 nt
Filed under: uncultured bacterium
Lineage: Bacteria
Description: partial 16S ribosomal RNA
Rfam family: Bacterial small subunit ribosomal RNA
Source: RNAcentral
AUACGGAGGGUCCAAGCGUUAUCCGGAAUCAUUGGGUUUAAAGGGUCCGUAGGCGGGCAAUUAAGUCAGAGGUGAAAUCCCACAGCUCAACUGUGGAACUGCCUUUGAUACUGGUUGUCUUGAAUUAUAGUGAAGUAGAUAGAAUGUGUAGUGUAGCGGUGAAAUGCAUAGAUAUUACACAGAAUACCGAUUGCGAAGGCAGUCUACUAACUAUAUAUUGACGCUCAUGGACGAAAGCGUGGGGAGCGAACAGGAUUAGAAACCCUAGUAGUCC